RNAcentral lists this ribosomal RNA (255 nucleotides) under uncultured bacterium. Its description in RNAcentral is "partial 16S ribosomal RNA". It matches the Rfam family "Bacterial small subunit ribosomal RNA", at positions 524 to 776 of the family's 1533-position model. The record is from RNAcentral.
UACAGAGGCCCCAAGCAUUAUCCGGAAUCACUGGGCGUAAAGGGUGUGUAGGCGGUUUUUUUAGUCUUCUGUGAAAGGUCUCGGGCUUAACCCAGGAACCGCAGGGGAAACGGCAUAGCUUAGAGGAUGUGAGAGGUAAAGGGAACUCAUGGUGUAGGGGUGAAAUCCGUUGAUAUCAUGGGGAACACCAAAUGCGAAGGCACUUUACUGGCACACUCCUGACGCUGAAACACGAAAGCGUGGGAAUCGAAUGGG